AAAAAUGUCAGUGCCACGAAAGACAAAAGUCGGGAACUGGUACAGCUUACAAGAGACUAAAGAGACAGAGCAACUCAAAGCAAUGAGGGACACAGAAGUGGAUCAUGGAUGAAGAAAAGGACACCACAAAGAAAGCUACUCAGCAACUGAGCACCAUGGUAAUUUCUCUGGGGCAUCUGACCACCUUGAGAGAAAGACAUCAAGUCAUAUGGCCCAGCCAGAGAACUUGAAGCUGAAGCUGGCAGUCUACAAGGCUCACCCAUGGGGUCAGAACUCCUAAGAAGCCUUUUUAGUACCUCACUCCUAAAUGUGAAUAGACCACCAACGAUUGUCAGACAUCUAAGGAAAACCAACUUGAAAGGUGGAGACCAAAAGAAGCAAACAAAAAGCAAUGCAGAAGAAACUCAGCCUGCGAAGGGAUCAGAGAACUAUUAUAAAUAUCCAUAGAGGGAUAAGAGCUGGGAAAAUGGCAAUGGAUUGAUGAGAAAUUCAUGGUGAAAUAGUGACGAAAAUUUUACUCAUUGCUCAGAAAGCACUAAGGAUGAAAACAAGUUGAUGCAGAGAUGUUUUUAAAUGAAGAACUACAACUGAAUAAUAUAUUAACCAUUCUCUUUCCUGUUUCUCCGUUCCCAGUGAAACCAUGCUAAUUCUGUACUUUUCUUUUUCUACUUAAGAAUAUAUCUUUUUAGUGACU
This is a long non-coding RNA of Dama dama (fallow deer), 694 nucleotides long. RefSeq lists it as uncharacterized. The transcript has 3 exons. The record is from RefSeq and is a predicted model, not a curated record. NCBI's taxonomy places the organism in Eukaryota, Metazoa, Chordata, Mammalia, Artiodactyla, Cervidae.